GGAGACGUCGCAUAGUCCGGCCGAGUGCACCACCCUGCUAAGGUGGAGUCCCCGCAAGGGGACCGCGGGUUCAAAUCCCGCCGUCUCCGCCA
RNAcentral lists this transfer RNA (92 nucleotides) under Microcella alkaliphila. RNAcentral's name for it is "tRNA-Ser". It matches the Rfam family "tRNA". Rfam says of the family: Transfer RNA (tRNA) molecules are approximately 80 nucleotides in length. Their secondary structure includes four short double-helical elements and three loops (D, anti-codon, and T loops). Further hydrogen bonds mediate the characteristic L-shaped molecular structure. tRNAs have two regions of fundamental functional importance: the anti-codon, which is responsible for specific mRNA codon recognition, and the 3' end, to which the tRNAs corresponding amino acid is attached (by aminoacyl-tRNA synthetases). tRNAs cope with the degeneracy of the genetic code in two manners: having more than one tRNA (with a specific anti-codon) for a particular amino acid; and 'wobble' base-pairing, i.e. permitting non-standard base-pairing at the 3rd anti-codon position. The record is from RNAcentral. RNAcentral also lists the same sequence under 1 other name. Lineage: Bacteria; Bacillati; Actinomycetota; Actinomycetes; Micrococcales; Microbacteriaceae.